AGGAUGAACGCUAGCGACAGGCCUAACACAUGCAAGUCGAGGGGCAUCGGGGCGAGGAGCAAUCCUUGCCGCCGGCGACCGGCGCACGGGUGAGUAACGCGUAUGCGACCUGCCCGUUGCAGGGGGAUAAUCGGGAGAAAUCCCGUCUAAUACCGCAUAAUGCCGCGGGGCUGCAUGGCCCUGCGGCCAAAGGAAGCGAUUCCGGCAACGGAUGGGCAUGCGUGACAUUAGCUAGUUGGCGGGGCAACGGCCCACCAAGGCGACGAUGUCUAGGGGUUCUGAGAGGAAGGUCCCCCACACUGGUACUGAGACACGGACCAGACUCCUACGGGAGGCAGCAGUGAGGAAUAUUGGACAAUGGGGGAAACCCUGAUCCAGCGACGCCGCGUGAGUGAAGAAGUAUUUCGGUAUGUAAAGCUCUAUCAGCAGGGAAGAAAAUGACGGUACCUGACUAAGAAGCCCCGGCUAACUACGUGCCAGCAGCCGCGGUAAUACGUAGGGGGCAAGCGUUAUCCGGAUUUACUGGGUGUAAAGGGAGCGUAGACGGCAGCGCAAGUCUGAAGUGAAAUCCCAUGGCUUAACCAUGGAACUGCUUUGGAAACUGUGCAGCUGGAGUGCAGGAGUGGUAAGCGGAAUUCCUAGUGUAGCGGUGAAAUGCGUAGAUAUAUGGAAGAACACCAGUGGCGAAGGCGGCUCUCUGGUCUGCAACUGACGCUGAGGCUCGAAAGCAUGGGUAGCGAACAGGAUUAGAUACCCUGGUAGUCCAUGCCGUAAACGAUGAGUGCUAAGUGUUGGGAGGUUUCCGCCUCUCAGUGCUGCAGCUAACGCAUUAAGCACUCCGCCUGGGGAGUACGACCGCAAGGUUGAAACUCAAAGGAAUUGACGGGGGCCCGCACAAGCGGUGGAGCAUGUGGUUUAAUUCGAAGCAACGCGAAGAACCUUACCAGGUCUUGACAUCCAGUGCAAACCUAAGAGAUUAGGUGUUCCCUUCGGGGACGCUGAGACAGGUGGUGCAUGGCUGUCGUCAGCUCGUGUCGUGAGAUGUUGGGUUAAGUCCCGCAACGAGCGCAACCCUUGUCAUUAGUUGCCAUCAUUAAGUUGGGCACUCUAAUGAGACUGCCGGUGACAAACCGGAGGAAGGUGGGGAUGACGUCAAGUCAUCAUGCCCCUUAUGACCUGGGCUACACACGUGCUACAAUGGACGGUACAACGAGAAGCGAACCUGCGAAGGCAAGCGGAUCUCUUAAAGCCGUUCUCAGUUCGGACUGUAGGCUGCAACUCGCCUACACGAAGCUGAAAGCGCUAGUAAUCGCGGAUCAGCACGCCGCG
This 1329-nucleotide ribosomal RNA is filed under the name uncultured bacterium. Its description in RNAcentral is "bacterial SSU rRNA". It matches the Rfam family "Bacterial small subunit ribosomal RNA", at positions 26 to 1361 of the family's 1533-position model. The record is from RNAcentral.